This is a long non-coding RNA of Nannospalax galili (Upper Galilee mountains blind mole rat), 337 nucleotides long. RefSeq lists it as uncharacterized. NCBI's taxonomy places the organism in Eukaryota, Metazoa, Chordata, Mammalia, Rodentia, Spalacidae. The record is from RefSeq and is a predicted model, not a curated record. The transcript is spliced from 3 exons.
GAAAGGCUCCCCAGCCUGACUGCUGCAGGUGUAAGAUCGGUUUGUGGAUUCCCAGUGUCUUACAAAGAUCCAGGACCAAAACUGGACCUCCGGACCGUCAAAUUAAAGAAAGGAGCAAUGAGCAAGAAAGGCUACCCACCUGACUUCACAUCAUGAGUUCCUGUUUACUAUCCUUCUGCCCCAGAGAUGUACCCAAGGACCAGGAUUUUAUCUUUUUCAUUGCUCAAGGUCUGAUAGAGUUCACUCCUGCUGAAUGAAUAGUGGAACGACCUUCCCUGACCUCAUUUUCAUGUCGGCGCGAGCACACCCGGAGCCCGCGCCACACACUCAGGAGGAG